This 75-nucleotide transfer RNA is filed under the name Cafeteria roenbergensis. RNAcentral's name for it is "tRNA-His". It matches the Rfam family "tRNA". From Rfam's summary of the family: Transfer RNA (tRNA) molecules are approximately 80 nucleotides in length. Their secondary structure includes four short double-helical elements and three loops (D, anti-codon, and T loops). Lineage: Eukaryota; Bigyra; Bicosoecida; Cafeteriaceae. The record is from RNAcentral.
GGCGGAUAUAACUCAGUUGGUUAGAGUGUCAGGUUGUGGCUCUGAAAGUCAAGGGUUCAAAUCCCUUUAUUCGCC